Molecule: long non-coding RNA, 1378 nt
Filed under: Anser brachyrhynchus (Pink-footed goose)
Lineage: Eukaryota; Metazoa; Chordata; Aves; Anseriformes; Anatidae
Description: lncRNA (ENSABRG00000004672.1)
Source: RNAcentral
AGAAGCUCAUAAAGAAACGUUCUGCAGCUCCGGCAGACGGCGCGUCCUUCGUUCCUUCAAGAUGCCAGCAAAGCCGUUUGCUUCAGCAGAGGUCCCCAUAUGGGAAAUACUGGAAGAAUUCAGUCAUUUAGCUAACUUUUUAUUAGUGGGCAUAAAAUAAGGAAACAAAAUAAACUGUCUUUCACCUGUCCUUCAAACCAACAUCUCUAGUAGCAAUGCUGAGAAGACUUUUUUUUAGAGAUUAAUAUAACAGUGAAAAGCUAAUUGACUUAAUUGUCUUGAACUGCCCCUCCCUAAAUAGGAGCUCUUGGAGGCACUGUUUCCUCAAAAAAAGAAGAGAGAAAAGCCAAGAAAAGCAAGAGACUUCUGUUCUCAGAAUUUAGUUUCCAACAGCGAUACACAGUGAUACUGUAGAGAAUGACACAGAACUGAUAGAAGCGUUAUCAGCAUGUUUUUUAGCUAUGAAAACUCCUCAGUUUCAAAACUGAAACAUUAAAGGUAAUUCAUAAGUGAAGCUGGGAUGCAGUGGAACAAUGUAUUAGGGAACUUAUGAAAGGAUUUCUACAAGUAACAGCUUAUUAUAGCUGUAGAUAGAAAGUAGGAAAGAAAAAUCCAUAUUGCUAACAAGUGGUGUGGUAGGAAAUAGGAACGUUUCUUGUUUAGGGAACAGUAGGAAAAAAUAGGAAUACAUUUCAUUUCCUAGAAUAUCUGUGCCUGAAAGAAGAAAUUCUAAAAACAACUGAAUAACAAGACAUUAUUUAACCUAUUAAUUAUUAUACAAGCAAAUUAACAAUGAUCAAAUGUUUUUAAAAAAAACAACAAAAACAAACAAAAACUAACAAAACCAGACCACCUUCAGAAAGGUUCAAAAUGUUCAAAACCAGACCACCUUCAAAUUUUAAGAUCAUAUCAAAUAAGAUUUUUUAAAAAGACAUCUGCAAAGUAAACUGAGUUUAAAGCUAAGUCACAGUAGAUGUUUGCAGAACUCCUUCUCCAGGUAAGAAUUAAGGAAAAUGUGUUUGUAGAGCUGAAUAAUUUUAUUCUUUUGACCUAUGCUCUUUUUUUUUUAGAACUACUGAAUCUUAGGUGCAUUGAAUGGGAUUAAAGUGCUGUCUGUUCAUUACAUACCACCUGAAGAAGUUUUGAUAUAGGAAGAAAAAAGACGGUCAUCUGGGUGGUAUUAAGGAACUGUUGAUAUGAUAUGAACUAAGAUUAAAAAUAUUUAAAUGAAAAUUUGAGAAGAGGAUUCAAAAGUUUCUGAAAGAAUACUCCCUGAAAUGUUUUGUGAAUCCUUUUGAGAGAGGAGGCUAUUUAUAUUGGGAAAGAGAAAACUACUUCGGAGACUGCCUUUCCAGUACAAACUAAUUAACUAGAAAUG